ACCCGCACAAGCGGUGGAUGAUGUGGUUUAAUUCGAUGCAACGCGAAAACCUUACCCACCUUUGACAUGGCAGGAAUCCUAAGAGAUUUGGGAGUGCUCGAAAGAGAACCUGCACACAGGUGCUGCAUGGCUGUCGUCAGCUCGUGUCGUGAGAUGUUGGGUUAAGUCCCGCAACGAGCGCAACCCUUGCCAUUAGUUGCUACGAAAGGGCACUCUAAUGGGACUGCCGGUGACAAACCGGAGGAAGGUGGGGAUGACGUCAAGUCCUCAUGGCCCUUAUAGGUGGGGCUACACACGUCAUACAAUGGCCGGUACAGAGGGUAGCCAACCCGCGAGGGGGAGCCAAUCCCACAAAGCCGGUCGUAGUCCGGAUCGCAGUCUGCAACUCGACUGCGUGAAGUCGGAAUCGCUAGUAAUCGCGGAUCAGCAUGUCACGGUGAAUACGUUCCCGGGUCUU
This 457-nucleotide ribosomal RNA is filed under the name uncultured Allobrachymonas sp. RNAcentral's name for it is "bacterial SSU rRNA". It matches the Rfam family "Bacterial small subunit ribosomal RNA", at positions 919 to 1382 of the family's 1533-position model. The record is from RNAcentral. Lineage: Bacteria; Pseudomonadati; Pseudomonadota; Betaproteobacteria; Burkholderiales; Comamonadaceae.